AAGCAACACAUGUUUACAGUUUGGGUGGGACACAUAUGUUCCCCCAGACACUGGCAUUUGAUGUUCCUAAGAACUGUGUCAGAUGGGAAUGUUAAUUUAUUUGAUUACAGUUCUGUAAAUUUAGUUCUGAAAAAACCCAGUGGUGCCAAAUGGGCUGACACAAAAAUAAGCUUAUGAAGCAACGUCGUACCCAGGGGAGUGUGGCGAAGUCCUUGGAUGUUGGCGGCCCCCUCCAAUCCGUAAUCCUGGCAAGGUAACCAGGUAGAUUCUGCACCGUUUAUCCAUCUCAUGUUAGUGGUCUUAGAAAUCAUAUUAUGUGAAGUCUCCAGGGUUCCUCGGAAUACCAUUGGGUCCACACAGGGUCAAGAUGCUGGUGGGAUCCUCUUACCUUUGAUUUGAAAAUAUUUGUCCCUCCCAGAAAGACUUCUAGUUGAUAAAAAAGAAGAAAAAAAACCUCUACAGUUGAAAACAGUUUGAGAAACAUGACAUAGGACGAUUUCUGAAAUGUUCUUUACCUCUUUAAGGCAAGGGUGUAUGAUUAGCUGAACCCAUGCCCUGGAGCAGUAAUAUGGGCUGGGCCAAGUUGUAACUUCCACAGGGUGUGAGACAGGUCUGAUCUUGGUGCAACAGAAGUUGUGUGCUUCGCUUGCAAGGCGACCUACAGAAAAAAAUGACCACAGAAAAAUGACCUACAGAAAAAAAUGACCACCAAAAGAUGUGGCCUCCCUGGGAAGCUGGUUCAAAUUGUUUAAGGUUUGACAUGUUUCUGAACAAUAGGAGAUGUGGCUUUAAGCUGGACUCCAAGUAGGCAGUGAGUCUUUCUGCCACUCAAAUUUGUUACUCAAAUUAUCUAAAUUGGCUCCUUUAAUCAUCUCUGAGUUUCAGAGAGGUUAAUUACUUGCUUCAGGAAACAUGCUGGUAAACAGUUCAGAGGGACUUGGAACCAGGGUUCUCUGACUCCAAAGCUCCCGCCCCACAGUGUGGUCCACAUUGAAGAUGUCUGCUUCCUCCUUCAAGGUCAUUAUCACUCCCUAGUCCACUUCCUGUUGCUGCUCAGUGUCGUCUUUAGGAUGGAGUCCUCCCUGGCUGAUUUCCAGGGAGGCUCUGCUUUCUUCCGGAGAGGUCUGCUGCCAGCCCACACAGCUGAGUGCACACUUCUCCCUCUGCAUCUGUUUCCUCUGUGGUCUUGUCCUCUAUGCAGGGUCACUGGUGAGGUAGGAGAGGUGUUGAAGGCUCCUCAGGUGGGGAGAGGUACUCCCUCCUGGAGCCUGGAGUCAAGCCACAUCUCCUGUGGUGCAGAAAUGCUCGUCAAACCUUGAACAGCACGAACCAGCUUCCUGGGGACGUGGCAUCUUGAGGACCUUGUUUCAUGGAAGUAUCUCCAGAGCCUCAUAUUCUGUAGUGACAUCAAGAAUUUCCUUAGGAAAUAUUUCCUUGAAUGUGGCUCUGCGCAGCUCACCAUCAAACAUCUAAGCCCCCACAUAAACAGAAAAUUAAGUGAAUAAUAGGCCCAAAACUCUGAAGGCUAUAGAAACACUGGAUUACAGAGUUUAGAGCGCAUAUAGUCUAACUUUCCCCCUGGAUCACGUCAGUUCAUCCUAUAACAAAUGGUCACGACUUCUGGCCAUCUCCAGUGACUGGGAACCCACCGCCUGAUGGGGAGUGUAAAAAGAAUUUAAGUAAAUGAUAACACAUUUUCUGGGUUAAUUCUUAAUAUAGUCACUAAAAUAUUGAGAAUUUUGAAUGGCAUGAGAAGCUUAAGAUACAACUAGGUAAAAACAAAGAAAGCUGCAUAUGUAAU
This 1801-nucleotide long non-coding RNA is filed under the name Marmota monax (woodchuck). The record is from RNAcentral. Lineage: Eukaryota; Metazoa; Chordata; Mammalia; Rodentia; Sciuridae.